RNAcentral lists this long non-coding RNA (686 nucleotides) under Diabrotica virgifera virgifera (western corn rootworm). Its description in RNAcentral is "uncharacterized LOC126883648". The record is from RNAcentral. Lineage: Eukaryota; Metazoa; Arthropoda; Insecta; Coleoptera; Chrysomelidae.
CAAAUUUGGUUUUGUUUUCAAAGUUCUAUGUUGUUUUGUUCUGUUUUGUAUUUGGUUCUAUUUUUUAGUCAUGAAGUUAAGUAGUAUCGUGGGAUAUUUGAAGUUCUUGGGUACUGAAAAUUCAAGAAGUUUUAAACUCUGGUCAUCUUAUUUUGGCUGGAAAAAUAGAGGAAAGUUCUGAGCAUACCAUCAAAAUAUAAUAUGGUUUAUUCCUUCAGUAAGGUCCAAUCCCCACGAAAUUAAAGGAACCCUAUCUUUCACAAAUGGCAUGAGCAUUAGUCAAAUGUUAUGUUCUUGUAAAGCAGAAAAUAGUGGAAAAUGUAAACAUGUCUCUACUCUUGUUAAAUGGAAAAUGUGACAUUAAUGGAACAUUCAGUACAUGAGUUGAAAAAAUGUUAACAGAUUGCCAAAUGAAGACCAUUUUUAAUUGAUCUAAACAUUUAUAGAAACAAAGUAUAUGGUUAAUAUAAAUAUUACUUGCCUGAAGUAACGUAGUGUACAAAUCAAUAGUAACCAUAAUUUUUAUUCCCAGGGCCAGUGAGAAACAAUGUGCAUUUGAUUUCUAAGUGUUCUAAGGAAAGAUCUCGUAAGAAUAAAUAGAUCUGUACAAUGAAGAUUAACCUAAUCUGUUUAACCAUCGAAAUUAUUGUAUUGUUAUAAAAAUAAUAAAUCUCCAUUUCAUAUUA